AGUGAACGCUGGCGGUAGGCCUAACACAUGCAAGUCGAACGGUAGCACAGUAAGAGCUUGCUCUUACGGGUGGCGAGUGGCGGACGGGUGAGGAAUACAUCGGAAUCUACUUUUUCGUGGGGGAUAACGUAGGGAAACUUACGCUAAUACCGCAUACGACCUACGGGUGAAAGCAGGGGAUCUUCGGACCUUGCGCGAUUGAAUGAGCCGAUGUCGGAUUAGCUAGUUGGCGGGGUAAAGGCCCACCAAGGCGACGAUCCGUAGCUAGUCUGAGAGGAUGAUCAGCCACACUGGAACUGAGACACGGUCCAGACUCCUACGGGAGGCAGCAGUGGGGAAUAUUGGACAAUGGGCGCAAGCCUGAUCCAGCCAUACCGCGUGGGUGAAGAAGGCCUUCGGGUUGUAAAGCCCUUUUGUUGGGAAAGAAAAGCAGCAGGUUAAUACCCCGCUGUUCUGACGGUACCCAAAGAAUAAGCACCGGCUAACUUCGUG
This 492-nucleotide ribosomal RNA is filed under the name uncultured bacterium. Its description in RNAcentral is "partial 16S ribosomal RNA". It matches the Rfam family "Bacterial small subunit ribosomal RNA", at positions 29 to 507 of the family's 1533-position model. The record is from RNAcentral.